This 165-nucleotide small RNA is filed under the name Chrysemys picta bellii (western painted turtle). RNAcentral describes it as "TUC338 (ENSCPBG00000008140.1)". The record is from RNAcentral. Lineage: Eukaryota; Metazoa; Chordata; Testudines; Emydidae.
CUAAUGGGCCUGGAGUUAGAAUUCCUCUACUUCUGCCAGCCUCAGAGAAGGUGCAACUUUCCCCUCCAAGGACCCAUUAAUCUUCUUCAACUCUGGCCUGGAGAGACCAUCUCUGGGGAUAAAAGGGGAAUUGAGUCUCCAUGGCCAAUUCACUCCAUGACCUCC